This 182-nucleotide ribosomal RNA is filed under the name uncultured bacterium. RNAcentral's name for it is "partial 16S ribosomal RNA". It matches the Rfam family "Bacterial small subunit ribosomal RNA", at positions 1318 to 1500 of the family's 1533-position model. The record is from RNAcentral.
GCAUGAAGUCGGAAUUGCUAGUAAUCGCGGAUCAGCAUGCCGCGGUGAAUACGUUCCCGGGCCUUGUACACACCGCCCGUCACACCAUGGGAGCCGAUAAUACCCGAAGUCAGUAGUCCAACCUCGUGAGGACGCUGCCGAAGGUAGGAUUGGCGACUGGGGUGAAGUCGUAACAAGGUAGC